UCACCAGGAAAACCAACGAUUGAUUUUUUUUGUCUUUUAAUUCCUGAAAAAUAAACCAAGACAUUAAAUUAUAAUCCUAGAGGCAAAAAUCAAUCAAAAUUGUGAAUGGCUCCUCUUUGGAAUCCUAGGGCCACUGAUAUAUAAAAGUUGCUCACAAAAAUAAGCAAUGUUUUUCUUGAUUCCUUUCAUAGUAUUUUAUUCUUAUCAUUUUUACCCUUACUUAUUUUAACUUGGGGUGAUUGAAAUCGAAGCAUUCUUCACUUAACCUUUAUUUUGGCUCUCACCCAACAGUAAUCAUUUCAUUUCCUUUUCUUGAUUAUUAUUGCCUGCAGUUUAAUUGGAUUCUUGUGACAGUAUUUGUUAUUUAGGUUUUCUGUCAAUCAUGCAAUUCCUGUCUUAUAGUUUCCCUCAUAGGCAUUUAGAGCAAAAAAAUCUUAAAAAAUUUAUGCUCUUGUUCCAAACAUCAACUCAUAAGGAUGCUUCCCAAGAAGUAUGGGUUCAUUAGUGAUUACCUUUUAUUUAUCUUAGCUUUCCUUCAGUUUAUGCCCUUUUGAACUAUGUUGAUGUUUUUAUAGCAUUUGGCUUAAAAAAGUUUUCCUUGAAGUGCAAGGGUCUAUUUUCUCGCAACAGACUCUUACGACCUUUUGUGAGCCAAACAUAUAACCCAUUCAGAAUUCUCAUUGUAUGUUUUAUAUGCGGCAAGAGAAAUCAUGCUUUAGUGAGUUAAUCAUUGGAUGAAUCAAAUAGGGUAAUUUUUGAUUGACCCAGAUUUUUGGCUUAUAUUUUGUGCUGUUUGAAAACUUCUUUUAUCUUUCGUGUGAUCUGUUCGUGUAACCUAGAUGUGAGGCUAUCAAUGACAAAGUAGUUUCUUUUUACUUCCUCUAGUGGAAUCGCCACAUGAUUUUUUGACAUAUCUGCUACUAUUAUUUCUCUAAGGUUAACAUUUAUGACCGUACUUACUAUGCCUUUCAUUGAGCCUUUGUAGCUUUGAAACUUAUGGUGGCCAAAGUUAACCAUAGGUCACUAUUUGAUAUAUGUCUUUAAGGUUUUCAUAUCUUUGACACUUUAUACUUUUUCUGCCUUCUAGGCAAUCACUUCUACACAGAUGUGCAUUGAUUCUUCACUUUUGUUGAUGUUGAUAUGGUACAUUGCCUUUUUUAUGUUAUGUUUCUUUACUCAAUAUGACUUGAGGCUAUUUAUUGUAUUCGUUAGCCUAAUUUGUGCAACACUCACCCGGGAAGUUCCGUGCUUCUGUAGCAUGAACAAGAGCACCAGGAUAACUGCAGAGAGAGCCUCCACAAUGGCUGCGAGAUCGAAAGGCUUCCGAUGAGAAUGAUGCCAAGAUGUUGGGUUCUUGAGAGGAACCAGCCUGCCUGACGAGACCACUUACAUUUACUGACCGAAUGAAGAGGGCCUCUUAAGCCAUCCAUUGCCGACAGCCUCAAGGGUACAGUUAAUUAUGUUAGAUCAGAGUUCCCAAUUUCAUGGAAGAUCUGGUUUUCCUUCGGCUAUUGUCUGUGAUAUGUUUAUCUUGAAAUAUGAUCUAUAAUUCAAUUGUGGUUUUUUCUUUUUCAUUCCUUUUUUUUUGCUUUUUGUGUUUGCAAUUGUUGACUGUGAGUUCAAGGCUGGCUUUGAGUUGAACUAUAUCUAUGAUAUCAUUUCUUAGUGCCAAAUAUCUAUGGAUGGAGUACAUUUUUCAUAUCUGUUGGUGAGGAGUCAAUGUAUCUGUGCUGGGUGGAAAUGAUAAAAAGCAUGACGCACGAUUUGAAACUCUAAAGGCUCUUGACUACGAUCUUUUGUGGAGUUUCAUGUUUUUUCGUUGCUUCCAUUGAUGCUUUCAGACUGGAGAGAUCAGUGGAGACAUCAACUUAUAGGAAUUUGAUUAAGAAGUUUAUAUUUGAGGACCCGGAGUAAUUCAUAAGUCAAGUUUUAAAUGAAAGAAACUGGAUCGAUUUUCCUUCGGUUAUCUCUUCUGCCGUUGUUAUUUCAUUGUAUUCAAGCUCAAUCGGGUUUUAUUUUUGUUUUGUGAAGGUUCUUAUUUAGAGGGUUGUACACACUCACUUUUUACAGUUUUCAUUGAGAUGAACCUGGUCAAAAACUAACCCACUGAAAAGAGAACCCUGAGAAUCUUGUUAUCCCCUUUCUUAAUAUAGGCUAAUUUUCUCCUAUUUAUACAUAGACCUCCUCAUUGUCUAGUUCCUAGUGCUGGACUUGGUAGGCUUGCACUGGGGGUUUCUUGUCUAAGUGAAAACAAUAUUCAGUUACUCCUAACCGCUUCUAGUUCCUUUUUCCCCCUUUUGUCAUAUCAUUUGACUCUCCACUGUGUCUUAUAGGAUAUCUUUGUCAAGGAAAUGCUUUUUCUUAUUAUAUGGUGAUCUCCUCAAAGUUUCUUUGACCAGGUUGAUCCUUUUUGACAUAUUGAGCCUUGAUUUGGAUAAAGAUGAGGUACGGCUGGUGGGGACGUAGAUACAAGCCUUAUCAGAAGGAAAUAACAUUUGAUAAAAAAUUAGAUCAGAGUUCCAGGACAUGAUUAACAAUGAUUAUACCCUGAGAAUGUGAAUGAAGAACUGUAGCCGACGAUCUUAGAGAAAAACAGCUCGCUAACUAUGCUCCUCUCAAAGUAUGUAGAGUUCCCACACGGCCUAGAGGAUACUAGGAUUCUAACAAGGACUAGCUAGCUCUCAACUUCAAGCUUUUCAUACCCAAUUUCUCCUUAGAGGACCUUGGAGUUUAAUUUAUUUCAAAAGAUUGUUUCUUCUCAGAUCAAGUUGAGCGUACUAUUUAUGGCCUCAACAUGAGGCUUUUAAAGGAGUGUUCUUAGAUCUGGCCUAGAAAUCCCAGCAUCUCCCUUAAUUAAUGGGCUGGAAUUUCCACCUUAAAUGUUCCUAAAAGUAGUGAAAGUGGUUGGGGUUUCUUAAAGUAUCUUAAAAUUUUUAAUAGCCCUAAAUAUCUCUAGAAACGGUCAAAAAAUUGUCAAAGAUAGCUUGGACUUAUGAUAUAUGAAAAUCAGAAAAAGAGAUACUUAUUGUCACCCAAUCCUGUGUGUUGACUCCAGCUAGUGCAUGGUCGACUCUAUUGUCCUCAUCAAAUUCUUGUGGUAAUUUAUCAUUCUUUUUGGCUUUCAGUUGGCUAAAGAGUGAGCUUGGGAUUUUUCUUUUUAGAAUCACUAUUUAUUGGGUAAGAAGUUUGAUGAAAUGACAUGAUUCCACCCACUCCCCCUCUUGCUAUUUCUUCGGUAAAACAUGGAAUGCCUUUGUAACCUUACAAAUUGUUCGAUUUGCAUAAAUUUUAUUCGAAUGAUUUUCUUAGGUUCUCUAUUGAUGAAUUACACAACUUGUCAGUUCUAUUACAUUUGAUUUCUAGAUGUGUUACUUGCUCAAUUUCUUAGAAGCGGGGAUUAAUACUAUAACUGUUGCUAUAAAAAACAUCUAAAUCUGUAACUUUCUCUUUCUUAUAAAGCACAUGAAUGCCUAAGAUAAUCAAAGCAGAGAUUAAAAGCAUUAGGGCUUUCAGGGAGAUGGUUCAUGCUGAGGAUACUCAAUGUCGUUCAGAAGUAUGGCAUUGUGACUCUUGGAAACUCCGAUUGCAUCACAUAGGUACUUUGCUGAGGAUCAAAGGAAAUUCAUGGACAGAACAUAGAAUGAUAAACGAAGUGAGAUCUAGAGAUUUUUUUUUAUUGGGAGAGCUUUUUCUCAGUGGAGAAGUAAUUAAAGUCGUAGUAGAGUCAUUUUAUGUUAAGUCAUAGCAUGGUAAUAUCAGCAUGUUUAGAGCGUGUGAGACUUAUGAAUUUGUUCGAACACAUUUGGUUACAUCUUUAUGUAAGUUUUUCAUUUCUAGAUUAUUGGGUGAUCUGUCAGGGAUCAAGUUGUUUUUGUAUAUAGUAUUGUGUUCAGCUUUCUUUUGAUCAUGAUAUAACAUCUUUCUGAUCUUCUUGCAG
RNAcentral lists this long non-coding RNA (3937 nucleotides) under Spirodela polyrhiza (greater duckweed). Its description in RNAcentral is "long non-coding RNA (SPOL_LNC001745)". The record is from RNAcentral. Lineage: Eukaryota; Viridiplantae; Streptophyta; Magnoliopsida; Alismatales; Araceae.